This 464-nucleotide ribosomal RNA is filed under the name Vreelandella stevensii. RNAcentral's name for it is "partial 16S ribosomal RNA". It matches the Rfam family "Bacterial small subunit ribosomal RNA", at positions 338 to 795 of the family's 1533-position model. Lineage: Bacteria; Pseudomonadati; Pseudomonadota; Gammaproteobacteria; Oceanospirillales; Halomonadaceae. The record is from RNAcentral.
CCUACGGGUGGCAGCAGUGGGGAAUAUUGGACAAUGGGCGAAAGCCUGAUCCAGCCAUGCCGCGUGUGUGAAGAAGGCCUUCGGGUUGUAAAGCACUUUCAGUUGGGAAGAAAGCCUUUUGGCUAAUACCCACGAGGAUGGACAUUACCCACAGAAGAAGCACCGGCUAACUCCGUGCCAGCAGCCGCGGUAAUACGGAGGGUGCGAGCGUUAAUCGGAAUUACUGGGCGUAAAGCGCGCGUAGGCGGUCUGAUAAGCCGGUUGUGAAAGCCCCGGGCUCAACCUGGGAACGGCAUUCGAACUGUCAGGCUAGAGUGCAGGAGAGGAAGGUAGAAUUCCCGGUGUAGCGGUGAAAUGCGUAGAGAUCGGGAGGAAUACCAGUGGCGAAGGCGGCCUUCUGGACUGACACUGACGCUGAGGUGCGAAAGCGUGGGUAGCAAACAGGAUUAGAUACCCCAGUAGUC